GACGAACGCUGGCGGCGUGCUUAACACAUGCAAGUCGAACGGAAAGGCCCUGCUUUUGUGGGGUGCUCGAGUGGCGAACGGGUGAGUAACACGUGAGUAACCUGCCCUUGACUUUGGGAUAACUUCAGGAAACUGGGGCUAAUACCGGAUAGGAGCUCCUGCUGCAUGGUGGGGGUUGGAAAGUUUCGGCGGUUGGGGAUGGACUCGCGGCUUAUCAGCUUGUUGGUGGGGUAGUGGCUUACCAAGGCUUUGACGGGUAGCCGGCCUGAGAGGGUGACCGGCCACAUUGGGACUGAGAUAAGGCCCAGACUCCUACGGGAGGCAGCAGUGGGGAAUAUUGCACAAUGGGCGGAAGCCUGAUGCAGCAACGCCGCGUGCGGGAUGACGGCCUUCGGGUUGUAAACCGCUUUCGCCUGUGACGAAGCGUGGGUGACGGUAAUGGGUAAAGAAGCACCGGCUAACUACGUG
This 468-nucleotide ribosomal RNA is filed under the name uncultured bacterium. Its description in RNAcentral is "partial 16S ribosomal RNA". It matches the Rfam family "Bacterial small subunit ribosomal RNA", at positions 28 to 507 of the family's 1533-position model. The record is from RNAcentral.